GAUGAACGCUGGCGGCGUGCCUAAUACAUGCAAGUCGAGCGAACAGACGAGGAGCUUGCUCCUCUGACGUUAGCGGCGGACGGGUGAGUAACACGUGGAUAACCUACCUAUAAGACUGGGAUAACUUCGGGAAACCGGAGCUAAUACCGGAUAAUAUAUUGAACCGCAUGGUUCAAUAGUGAAAGACGGUUUUGCUGUAACUUAUAGAUGGAUCCGCGCCGCAUUAGGUAGUUGGUAAGGUAACGGCUUACCAAGGCGACGAUGCGUAGCCGACCUGGGAGGGUGAUCGGCCACACUGGAACUGAGACACGGUCCAGACUCCUACGGGAGGCAGCAGUAGGGAAUCUUCCGCAAUGGGCGAAAGCCUGACGGAGCAACGCCGCGUGAGUGAUGAAGGUCUUCGGAUCGUAAAACUCUGUUAUUAGGGAAGAACAAAUGUGUAAGUAACUAUGCACGUCUUGACGGUACCUAAUCAGAAAGCCACGGCUAACUACGUG
Molecule: ribosomal RNA, 497 nt
Filed under: uncultured bacterium
Lineage: Bacteria
Description: partial 16S ribosomal RNA
Rfam family: Bacterial small subunit ribosomal RNA
Source: RNAcentral